This is a long non-coding RNA of Ictalurus punctatus (channel catfish), 2339 nucleotides long. The record is from Ensembl. NCBI's taxonomy places the organism in Eukaryota, Metazoa, Chordata, Actinopteri, Siluriformes, Ictaluridae.
UCAUUUGAAUGAAUUAAUAUCCAUAUUGUUUAGACAUUUAUUAAAAUAUCAUCACUUUUUUGAAAUCUGUUUAUUCAUGUAGUAACCUCUUCAACUUUGUGAGCUAUUUGUUGAACCUUUCUUGUUAUAUAUGACUAUGAUGUAUUUGAGGAAUGGACAAUCUGAGUGGUUGUUAAUGUUAGGCAGGACCUUUUUAUUUGACAGAGCAAUGAGAGCCAGUGCAAUCAGAUAUCACAAUUCUCAAUUGUUGAAUAAAGUUAUGUAGUAAUCCAACACCCUUAAUGAAGAUUUAAGAUUGAGAUUGUCCAGAUAUGGUUUCUUUUAAAAUCCAACAUGCCAUAAAACAAAGACAAAACAACAAAAUAUCUAUCUAUUUUGUGUCCAGUUACUCAUGGCCUGCAUCCUAGCUGGUUCCAUUUCAUUCUCUGUCAUCAAGCCAGUUCCUUCACAACAGCCCAAGGAACCAAAACAUGGGAAUGCUGGGGCUAUCAGGUAACAUUCCAAUACUAUGGUAACGGAUUUGGUGGUCAUGGGAGUUUUGGAGACACUGGAAAGAAGUUGGUUAAAAUUGCACAAAGAAAUUCCCAGUUUCGGGAGAAGGUAUCUACAAUAGCAGAAAGGGACUGAAUGGUACAGGAACAGGCUUUAUGGUGAGUAACCAGAGAAUAACCUGGAAAUGAGGUUUUUGAUCUUCUUCCAUUAUUAUUAUUAUGACUGUUGAGAUGAGGUAUGAAGCACAGCUGAGGCAUUCUUUAGGGUUUCUUAUUUAUUUAUUUUACAUAUCAUUGUGCACAAUGGGUUUUCUACUCCUAUAUAUUAUUUAAUAACAUUUAAUAACCGCCAUUGAAUAAGUGUAUUUUUUUUUCUUUCCUCAUGGAAAAAAACCUGAAUCUCGCAGGUGGUCACUGUAAUGAAAGAGAGAGUCGAGUAGAAACAGAGGUCGUUCAGGCAGUGUUGGUGGUCGGGUUGCAGUGUGGCUCACAGACUUUAUGGGGCAGUCGAGUCGAUCAGCAGGAGGAUGUAGAGCGGGUAGCAGAGCUGCUUGCACAGAAACCUGACAUUAAAGUGGGCAUUAAAGAGGCCCUCUGCUGGAAUUCUUCUCAUAAUGGAGACCACCUUACACAGCUAUAUCUACAAAAAUACAGUAUAUAUUUUAUGAACACUUGGAUGGUCAUACUGAUUGCUAGAGUAAACAUCUGGCCAUUUUUGGACUGGUUUAAAUACUAGCCUUAUUUGCGGUUCAAGAAUUUUUAUAGUCAACUUUUCCAUCUUUUGUCUGUUGGGAACUUUACAUUUUUUACUUUGCAACUUUAGGAAUUUUAUGACAUACAGUCUAUGAAUGAAAAUAAGCAUGGAACUGAAGCAUCAGCCAUUUUUCCAGUUCAGAUCACACUACUGAAAAACAGUCCAGGUGAGAGUUGUGAAUUCCUGCAGACUCAGACCAGUGUGUUUACACCAUGUGCUGGUUACUUUAAGUGCACACUGUUCUAUCUCUUAUCUUUGUAUAUGAUCAGCAUUAAUCAUGGGUUAGAUAACUUCAUAACUCUUCCCUGACCCCAACAAUUUAAACUCUCUCAUUCCCACACCACUCAAAUAUUUUGUGUACAUAAUGAGAUUUUUAUUUUAUUUCAUUUUUUAAUUUUAUUUUUUCUUAAUUUGUGUUUGGAACACAUUUUAAUGUUUUUGAAUGUAUGUGGUCAGUUAAAAGCUGAUGAUAUGUCUAUUCCAGCAACCGUAGAUUAUAGUUAGUUAAAAUGCAAUUGAUUAAAGCUGAAUACAUAAUCACAAAAUACUGUCACAAUUUUAUACACUAUGGAAAUACUACCUGAAUGUUAAUGUAUAAUGUUUGCAGAAUGUUAAUCUGCAAAGAGAAAGGGCAUAUUGUCUUUUACCAGAGUUCUCCAAAUCCAUAAAAGUUACAUACUACAGCUUUAAGUGAGUUAAGUUAAGACUAGAAAACAACUAUAUACACUAUGUCUGUUUUGCGUUCCAGAUUUACUCAUCCCAACAUUCAAUAUUCACUAUACGAAUAUAUCUUUGCAGCAGCUCUGACACUUAACUCUAAGAUUAAGAUUAAAUUUUAACAAGAUUAACUUUUAAUCACUGUAGUCUUAAAAAUAUGUACAUACAUAUUAUGAUUUCCUUGAUUUAUGCUUAAUAAUCCAAAAGGAAAAAAUAACUUUCCAUUAAGAUUUCUUUCACCCUUACAAAUAUGGUCCUUUCAAAAAUAUGAUCUAUUCUUACACCAAGAGGGUAAAAUGUCACAAUGGAGACAGAGACUCUUGCUCUGCUUUAUUCUCGCUCUGUCUGUCUUUCUCUCUUGUUUACUUUGCCUUGGC